This 590-nucleotide ribosomal RNA is filed under the name uncultured Pleurotheciella. RNAcentral describes it as "eukaryotic LSU rRNA". The stretch from base 222 to 375 matches the Rfam family "5.8S ribosomal RNA". The record is from RNAcentral. Lineage: Eukaryota; Fungi; Ascomycota; Sordariomycetes.
AAGUCGUAACAAGGUCUCCGUUGGUGAACCAGCGGAGGGAUCAUUACAGGGUCUAACGACUGCCCAAACCCAACCGUGAACUACUCCAACAACCAUAUGCUUCGGCGGGCCGCUCGCUGGGGGAGCCCCGGGCCGCUUCGGCGGUGACCCGCCGCAGGCAUGCAAACCAAACCUUUUCCGAGACUGCUCUGAGAAAAUACUUUCUAAAUGAAAAUAAUCACAACUCAUAACAAUGGAUCUCUUGGCUCUGGCAUCGAUGAAGAACGCAGCGAAAUGCGAUAAAUAAUAUGAAUUGCAGAAUUCAGCGAAUCAUCGAGUUUUUGAACGCACAUUGCGCCCUCUGGUAUUCCGGAGGGCAUGUCCGACCGAGCGUCGCGUCACCGCUCAGGCCCCCCCGGGGGCCUGGUGAUGGGGCCUCGCGGGUGCUCCGGCCCCGCGGCUCUCGAAUGCAGUGGCGGUCCCUCGUGGGCUUCUCCCUAGCGUAGUAAAGCAAUCGCUGUCGCUUCGGGGCCCCGAGGCGGCCUGCCGUAAAACGCACCCCGAUUUCAAUGGUUGGCCUCGGGUCGGACAAGAUUACCCGCUGAACUUAA